RNAcentral lists this unclassified non-coding RNA (358 nucleotides) under Hevea brasiliensis (rubber tree). Lineage: Eukaryota; Viridiplantae; Streptophyta; Magnoliopsida; Malpighiales; Euphorbiaceae. The record is from RNAcentral.
ACCGGCGGUGCGGCCUAGACCGCGACGAUCGAGGAAACGAGCGUCUAGUAAGAGCAGCCAAAGCGAGAUCGUAAUGAGCCCUAGUAGCAGGAUCGGAGAGGGUCUCGUAGGCAUUGUGAAUCUCGAGGAAACUGCAUCCAUCGUCGAAAGAAGAAUCGCAAUCCGAUCUUCUGAGGGAAUCGGGAUGGUAAAUCUUGGCGAGAGUCCGGUAGGCGGUCUUGAUCUCGACGGAGGAGGCGUUGUGGUUGACGCGGAGGAUGUCGUAGAAACUGGCGGAAGAGCGUCGGGAUCCGGUGGCGACCUGGACGGAGGAGGCCAUCGGAGAUGCGAAGAGCUUGGUGGCGGACAUGGAAGGAAG